UACGGAGGAUCCAAGCGUUAUCCGGAUUCAUUGGGUUUAAAGGGUGCGUAGGCGGAAUGAUAAGUCAGUGGUGAAAUCCUGCAGCUUAACUGCAGAACUGCCAUUGAUACUGUCAAUCUUGAGUACAUUUGAUGUGGGCGGAAUGUGUCAUGUAGCGGUGAAAUGCUUAGAUAUGACACAGAACACCGAUUGCGAAGGCAGCUCGCUAAACCAUAACUGACGCUGAUGCACGAAAGCGUGGGGAGCAAACAGG
RNAcentral lists this ribosomal RNA (253 nucleotides) under uncultured bacterium. RNAcentral describes it as "partial 16S ribosomal RNA". It matches the Rfam family "Bacterial small subunit ribosomal RNA", at positions 524 to 776 of the family's 1533-position model. The record is from RNAcentral.